RNAcentral lists this long non-coding RNA (16247 nucleotides) under Gossypium raimondii (Peruvian cotton). RNAcentral describes it as "long non-coding RNA (GRAI_LNC006912)". The stretch from base 1893 to 1979 matches the Rfam family "MIR7486 microRNA precursor family". Lineage: Eukaryota; Viridiplantae; Streptophyta; Magnoliopsida; Malvales; Malvaceae. The record is from RNAcentral.
UCUGAUUUAGGCACAAAACAUUCAAAGACAAGAAACUUCAAAAAAGAAAGAAAUAUUUUAUUUCUUAGUUUUAAGGUAAAUAUCCAAAGGAUUUAUGUCAUUGACAUCACAAUAACCCCAAAAGAAAAACCAAUUAAGUUUGAUAGCAAUGUAGAUGAUUAAACAUCAGCUGGUGGAGUGUGGUAGCAAACACAAAGGGUUCCUCCAAAAACUGUAGGGUCUUUCUCGCAAGCGGAUCGAAUUAAGCGACUUCCAUAAGCCUUCAAGCAUUUGUUCUGACAAUCGGGCUGAGAACAUGUAAUCACAAUCACCCCAUCGGCCUCGAUCGGCCUUGUGAAUGUCAACAUCACCAAAGCUAUAACAGCUGCCAUUGCCACCAUUCUUUUACCCCUCAUCUCCAUCUCAAGUGAAAUCUCCCUUGCCUCUUUUUUUUUUUUAAACCUUUUAUCCUUAGAUUUUCUAUAGACUGCAAAAUGUUGGGUUAUUUGAGUGACCAAAAACUAUGGUAUUUAAAGUGUGUUUCAUGUGUCCCAACGGAUGACAUGUCAAUGGUUGUUCAAAUCCUACCAUAAAUAAUCUAUUGCUGUAUUUCCAAAAAAGGAGUGAAUUUGGAGAUUCAUAUACCAUAUGAAGUUUUGGAUAGUAAAUCUGCUUAUUAUUUGGAAAAUAUAUGCGUAUCUUGAGCUUUGGCCAAUAAUGGAAGGCAUGUACUGUCAUUUCCUUUCUUUCUUUAUUUCCUUUUAUGAAAAAUUUGAAUUAUUUUUUCCUUUUAUGGAAUCCAUUUGAUAUAUUUAAAGUUAAAUAUUCGAACUAUUAUAUUGCCAAACAAUCGUACCUAAACCAGAGAACAGCUCGCCAAGCCAGCAAAUCAGUGUAUUUGAAGCUGAAUCACAUCAUUCCUCUCCUCCUUCGUCUUAGGAAGGAAGGACCACUUUUGAGCACACCAUUCUUCACCUUAGCUUUCCUGAAAAAUCUACCAAUAAAUGACAAACCCCAUAACACAGAUCAUAGGACAAGGUUAAACAAAUUGAACCCAUUUUCAGAGAAAGAAGAUAAGAGAACAAAAACAUAGUGGCUAGAAAAGCACCGGAGAUCCUAUUGGUAAUUGAAAGAGUUGCAGAAAGCUGUGGCUUAUAAAUAGGAAGAUGAGGAGAUAAUGGACGAAGGUUUGAUUCUCUGGUCUUGCUCCCAAGCCCUGGAAUGUCACGGGAUGGGGAGAGAAAUCGAUUCCCCUCGACUUUCAUGUUCAACACUUGGCUCAGGCUCCUUGUUGGAGACACAGAAUCAAACACAUCUACAGAGGCCAAAGCCAAGCGAAAAAGUUUUUUCUUGAGGGGGAAAAAUAACUAAAUUAUAAUUUUACAAUUUUUGUAAGGACUAAACUGAAAAUUUACCCUUUUUGGUCCCCUGGCGCCACCCCUACCGAUCUGCACAGUGAAAUCGGAAGGGACAAAAUCAACAUCAAUUUUAGAUAACCAAAAAUAAAAAGAAGUCGAAAUGAAAAACAAAUGGCUAAAUUGAGAAGAAACCGUAAGCACAACACCGAUCAUCAUUGAGGUCACGGUCAUCACGUGUGGCAGCGUUGGUGUUAAAGAUUCUGGAGGUGGAUGGAGCGGUGGCAACACGCAAGGGGCUGGGGAGGAUGUUGGAUGAGACGAGCCUCGUGAGAGCUAGAGAUGAAGCCAUUGCUAAAUAGAAAAGUCUCAAAUUUGCUUGCCGCUAAAAUGUAAAAUUGAGUGAAAUACUAGGAGGAAGGGGCAAAUUACAUACCCUAUUUUUUAAAAAUUUACCGAAAUGGGUCCGGUAAAUAAUUAUUUACCGAAAUGACCCUAUUUUAGCGAAAGUGCGUUCACGUCAACGCGAUGUCAGGGGACGUGGUAGAAAAACGCGUCUCUGAGGAAGCGUUUUGCCUACGUGGACAAAAAUCGCUCCUUUAAGGGCGCGCUUUAUGUCUAAGUAGGCAAAACGCUUCCUCAAGGACACGUUUUGCCCGUGUCUCCUACGGUGGGUUUUGGGUUAUUGGUUUAGAGUUAGGGUUAGGAUUAGGGUUUUGGUGUUUCUAAAUUUAGGGUUUAAGAGAAAAAAAUUAAAUAAAUAAAGAAUUAGGGUUUAGGGUUUUUCAAUUAAAUUAAUUAUAAAUGUUUCAAAAUUGGAUUAGUUUUCGUGUUUAUUGUUUUUUAAGAAAAAAUUAAUUAAAUUAGGGUUUAAGGUUACUUAAGUAAUUUAAUUAAAAAAAUUUUAAAAAUCAAAUUAGGGUUUAGAGUUAAAGUUUUUUAAGAAAAAAUCAAAUAAAUUAGGGUUCAUGGUUACUUGAGUAAAUUAAUUAUAAAUUUUUAAUAAAUUAGUUAAGGGUUUAGUAUUUAGGGUUUUUAAGUAAAAACUCAAAUAAAUUAAGGUUUGGGGUUUAAGGUUACUUAAUUUAAUAUAUUUGUUAAUUUAAAGAAGCUCCCACGUGGACGCGUUUUUGCUACAGUAGGUUCUGAAAAAAUAAUUUCGAGUAGAUGUUUUUGAGCAAAUAGUGUCAAAAAUGCUUUAAGAAGGAUGCUUUGUCAGUAGAAGUACUGAAAGAAUCUCCCACGUGGACGCGCUUUUGCUACAGUAUCCCCUGAAAAAAUAAUUUCGAGUAGACGUUUCUGAGCAAACAGUGUCAAAAACGCUUUAAGCAGGAUGCUUUAUCAGCAGAAGUACUAAAAGAAGCUCCCACAUGGACGCGCUUUUGCUACAGUAGCCUUUGAAAAAGCUCCCGCGUGGACGCGCUUUUGCUACAGUAGCGCAUUGCCUGAGGCUAUAAAUAAGGCAAAAUUUUCCCUCAGAUUGCAUAAAUUACAGAAGAAAAAUUUAGAGAGGCUAAGAAGGAUAGAAAUUGAAGAUGAGUGAACGUAUUAGUGCUGUUAUUUACUAUGAUGGUAAGGUUUGCCACACCGAGAACGGUGUUUUUUUUUUAUCGGAGAAUACAGUGCGACUGGUUUUUAACUAGAACAUAGAUUUGACAGAACUUCGUAAAAGAAUUAGGCGUAAAAUAUUCGGAACGACGCCAAUGAAAGUUUUGUCUAUUACAUAUCGAUUUUGUUCUUCUGUUGAUCCGGUGACAUAUGACUUGUUCGACAUAAAAGGUGUUCGUAGCUUGGAGGCAAUGAUACAGACUCAUCUCGCUAGUGGAGCACCCUAUAUUGAGUUAUAUGUACAAUUUACAUCGCAAAACGAUGCACUUGCGACUGGUGUUUGAGAGUUAUACACGACCCUUGCCCAACACUCGGUUAGUGGGUUAUAAAACACGAAGCAACCCAUGUUUGGUAGCGGUGUGGAAUACACAACCCUGCACGACACUCUGUCAGUGCAUGGGACAUGCACCUCGGUGGGUCGAUGUUUGAUGCUGGAAAUACGUACUGGGGAACGACAUUAACUUCUAGUGGUUGGCAAUCUACAUCCAAUUUUGGACGUUACGAAACGCUUAGAAGAAGGAAUGAUGUACUCCCUACGACGUCCACCGGUGAGGAGACCUCCUACGUUGCAAAUGAUGGUGGGUUAGAAGAUGACUCUGAUGUGGAUCCACCUCGAGAGCCCGGGCCAGAUGGUGCAGAAGUUGGAUUAUUUUCUGAACCGGAGUCUAUUCCAACUGAACCUGAAGAUGUUGAAGGGAGUUCAGAUGAAGAAGAAGAUCCACGAUUCAGGGCAUACUCACCUCCAGCCUGUUGACACCAUUUUUUUGAUAAAACGGGGUCGACUUGGAUUUUGAAAAAAAGAAUGAAAACGGGAGUCGCCACCAAUCCUUUUUUGAUGAGGUGUGAUCGGGUCACCUCGAAAAGUGGUUGUUUUUAAUAAACGAUUUAAUUUUUAUUAAAACAACGAUUUUGGUCUACGAAAUUCAGAAAACGGGUUCGGGAGUCGGUUACGCACGAGGAAGGAUUAGCACCCUCGAUACGCCCAAAAUUGGUACCUAGUUGAUUAAUUAGUGUCUUAGUGUCGAAAAUUGAAAACCUUGAAGAGUUUUAAAAAUACGAUCCUUAAAAGAAACUCUGAUAACGUGAAUUGAAAUAUAAGAUUCUCUUGUUCCGAAGGAAUAUCACAUCUAGCACGUUAGGACACGAUACUCUAAACCAUCGAAACCAAGAUCACCUUAUAGUUUAAUGAAACCAUACUUUGAAGUUUUAAGAGGAUAUUUGGCUAUUUAGUCGAAUGAGAAAUCGAAACCCAGCACGUUAGGGCACGUUUUCUCGAUUUUCCAAACGCUAAAUAUUGCCUUAUUUUAAAAGUUUAAAAAUGAUAUUUGGUUAUUUAGUCGAACGAGAAAUCGAAACCCAGCACGUUAGGGCACGUUUUCUCGAUUUCUCAAACGCGAAAUAUUGCCUUAUUUAGAAAAACUUUCCUUUUGAUGUUUGGUGUUAACAUAUGUGACUGGCGGUCUCAGGAAUAUAACAAGUUAAGGAUAAAUAGUACAGACAAUCAUAAAAAAUGGAAUAAAUAAAUAUAAGAGAUGAAUCAAACACUUAAUAACAAGUAAGUAAACGAAUAGAAUUAAAAUGUUCUUUUAAAAUAAUAAUGAACAUAUACGCAAAUAUAUAAAUAAACAUAAAAAAUAAAAAAAAGUGUGUUUCUAUAUACAUAUUUUAAAAUAAUAAAAUAUAACAAAUGUAUGAAUUAUAAGAUAUAGGUACAUAUACGUAUUAUAAAAUGUAUAGAUGUACGUAGUUUAAGAUUAUAAAAUAUAUAUAACGAAUAUAUGUAUGUAUAUAUGUUAUAAAAUAAUAAAAAAACCUAUGUAUGUAGACACAUUCAUUACACAUAUAUAACAAAGUUUGAAGAAUAAGAAAGAUAUAAAUAGCAUCAAUAUAAUGUAAAUAUAGUAAUUAAUAUAAAGACAAAUAUCUUUGAUAUUUAAAUAAGUAAAUAUAAAUAACGUAUAACAACAAUAAAACACAUAAUAAUAAUCAUGAUAGCAAUCAAAAUAUUAAUAUUAUUAGUAAAAUAAUUAAAAUAAUAAAACAAAUCGACUAAAUUGCAUUUAGAAACAAAACUUGGGGUCUAAAGUGCAAAUAAACAGAAAAGGGGCCACCAGGGACCAAAAUAAAACCCGCUGAAAGGGCGAGGAACCAAGGGCGCAAAUAUCCCCUAAGGAGAAAACGCGCGGAUCCUUUCAAGUCGGGUCGGGUCGCGCGGGUUAAAGCUCGAAACGGCGCCGUUUUGGUGUAAAUGAAACUACGUCGUUUCAUGCUAUUAUAAAAGCCCAAAAAAAACAUAAAUUCAUUUUCAGCCCUUGCUUCAAAUAAAAACUGAAGAGUGACUCAAAGCCUCUCUCCCUCUCCUCUUCCCCGGCCAAUAGGGCCACCAUCUGUCCGUCGGCUACCCGCCGGCCACCGGUGACGGCACCGCCGUGCAUGGUGGCCGGGAAACCCAAAAGUGCCCCUUUUUAGCCCGUUUUAAGCCUAGAUUUUAGAUCUAGAAGACAAAUGCCUGAAAAGUAAAAAAAAAAAAAGAAGAAAAGAUUCGACCUUUGCCCCAUUUUUUACCAAUCUCGACGCCGGGAAAAAGACCACCGACGGAGGGGCCACGGGCCGAUUCUGGUNNNNNNNNNNNNNNNNNNNNNNNNNNNNNNNNNNNNNNNNNNNNNNNNNNNNNNNNNNNNNNNNNNNNNNNNNNNNNNNNNNNNNNNNNNNNNNNNNNNNAAUAAAAGAUGAAUAAAAAAGAAAACAAAAAAUAAAACAAUAGAAUCUCAACCUUUUCAACUUCUAUUCUGUUUUUUAUUUUUAUAUGUGCGUUUUUUACAAGGAAAAUCGAAGAAGAAUACAAGGAUGAUAUUCUAGGCCUUUAUAGCCGAGAUUACAUCUUAUUCUUCUUAUUGUUUUGUUUUUUUUUUGUCGUAUUAUUUUUCUUCUAUCUGCUGUGUGUUUAUUGCUCUUUGCAGGUGGUGUCAGAGCAUGCGGAUGAGGCGAUAGGCGAGCCGCAGCAAUGGCCAAGGGCGUGCGGGGAGGCUGAGCGGCGCACAUGGGCAGUAGGGGCUGCUAGGUUUUCUCUGCUGAAAUGUUUUAGGUUGCUUGGGCUAGGUUUUUGUAAUUUUUUGGCCUGCUAGGUUUGGGCUUGUAGUUUUUGGGUUUAAAUUUGCUGAGAAUGGACUGCUUUUGUUUUUAUUAUGUGGGUAAUUUUGUUGGUAUGGGCCCGGGAAAAAAUGGCCUAUUACACAGCCCACAUGCAUAAUGUCGAUCUGUCUGCAGAUGAUGUGUUGGAGUUUCCAGAUCUACCACAUCGGUUGCGUGACCGUACAAGUUCGGUACUGGAUUUGGGUGAAUCUGAAGUUGGUAAUCAGUUUUCCAACAAGGAUAGUUUUAUUGGUGCUUUGAAACAACAUAGCAUCAAUAACGGCGUUAACUACCACGUCGUUAAGUCCAAAAUUGAUAAGUUUGAGGUGAAGUGUGCAGUGCAAGACGGUACAUGUUCAUGAAAAAUCUACGCCUCGUUGAGAAAAAGGACAGGGUUGUGGGAGAUUAAAAAGUACAAAGGUCCACAUACAUGUGCUACAGGUACAGUAUUUACGGUUUCUAAAUAAUACUGUUAUUAUGUAAUGUUGCAUUAUUUAAUGUAAUCCGUUUAUAGGUAUUUCACAAGAUCACCUCAAGAUGGAUUCAGCUAUGUUAGCUAGCUUGAUACUACCCAUGGUGAAGGCAGAUCCCAGGACUUCAGUGUUGGUGUUAAUUGCCAAUAUUCGUAACCACAUGGGGUACACACCCUCUUACCGCAAAGCUUGGAUAGCUAAGCAGAAGGCGUUGGAGAAGAUGCAUGGUGGUGGGAUGCUUCUUAUAAGGAAAUAUGGCAGUGGUGUCAAGUGCUAGAGUGAUACGUCUCAGGUUGUAUAACAGACCUCCAAACCAAACAUGCGUACUACAACGACCGAUUGCUACGUGGAUGCCAAGUGUUCAAACGCCUGUUUUGGACCUUUAAGCAAUGCUGAGACGUAUUUCCAUACUGCAAGCCAUUGGUACAAAUUGACGGUACCUUUAUGUUCGGUAGAUAUACCCAUCGGCUAUUGGCAGCAGUGGCACAGGAUGGCAGUGGGAGAAUUCUUCCACUUACAUUUGCAAUAACACCAGGGGAGCCAGCUUAUGAUUGGGAUUUCUUUCUAUCUAGGUUAAGAAGGCAUGUGUGCCCCCAACCUGAUAUCUGUGUUAUUUCGGAUCGGGGUAUCGACAUUGUAACAACCUGAUUUUUGGGUCUAGUCGGAAUAGUGGUUUCGGGACCACAAAUUCGACGAGGAAAAUUUUAUUUUUAUGGUCUACAAUUUCACGAAAUGAUUUCGUGAAAAUUUCAUUCAAAAAUUUUGACGUUUGAGCACUCAAUUUAUUUAAAAAGUCUAAAUUGAUAUGUAAUACCCCGAAAAUUUUUACAGUAAGAUAUUAUCUUUGAUAUAGUAAGGAAAUAAAGUGAUAAAAAGGAGAAUUUUGAGUUAUGACAACAUUGGGAAGUAUAUUAUGACAUAUUAAUUAAAGAAAUGAUUAAAUUGCAAAAGUGAGAAAAGUUUUGUUAUCCAAGAAUAAAUACUCAAAAUUUGAGGGGUUAAAGUGUAAAUAUCAAAAAGUUGAAGGAUCAAUAGUGUAAAUAUUUUAAGGGUGGAAUAAUCUAGAAACUAAGGAAAAUGGAUGAAUUGGGACCAAAUUGAAUAGAUGAAGAAUUAUGAGAGACUAAAUCGUAAUUUUACCAAAUUAAGUGAUGACUCAAGGAUGGAAUUUUAAAAGAUCUAAAGGGAAAAAUAGUCAAUUAGAAGAAAGAGAAAUCUAGAAAAUAAUGAUGAUGUUGGAGAUAUUUAGAUUAAAUAAAUAAAUAUUAGUUUAUUAAUAUUUUAAUUUGAUUUUUAAAUGACAUUUUAUCAUUUUAUUAUUAUUUUAUUUAGUAUAUAUAUAUGGAAGAAAAGAUGAAGAAUCACCUUCCUUUCCCAUGCAUUUCACGUUAGAAGAGAAGAGAAGAAAGAAAGUUUUGCUUUCUUUACAAUUUGGUCCUUCCACCAAAAAUUUACCAUUUUCACCUAGAAAUCAAAAGAAUUUCCAUAGCUACCAAGAGAGAAAAAUGUUAAGGAGACUAUGGGGAGCUAGAAUAUCAAGUUAGAUUCAAGAAAUAGAAGCUGGAGGAGAGAGAAAAUCAAGUUAAAGAUUGAAAUCAAUAGCACAAGGUAAGAACAUCAAGAUUCCAAUAUACUUUUGAGUUUGAUAUUAUUGAAAAAGUAGGAAAUUAAUGUUAAUGUAGAGUUUCAUUAUAUAAGGUUCUAUAUUCUUGUUAUGUUAGUAAAGGGAAAUAAGAGAAAGUGAUGGAAAACAUUGAAGAGAAAGGAAAGGAAGGUGUUAUAAAUUUAGUUAUCAAUAUUUUAUACUAAAACAAUUUUGGACAACAACAGUAGGUUAAUUUUGAAAAAUCACCAUAAAUUAUGGAAAAUUGAAUUAGAGGAUGAAAAAAAUAUGUAAUUAAAGCUUAUUGAGUCUAGUUUCUCAUAGAAGAAACGGUGUAAGUAAUGGAAUUGUAAAUCAUGAUAUAUAAUGAAUUUUGUGAGACAAGGUUAGAAUGAAUUCGGGUUUCCCUAUCCUGACUUUGAAAAAUCAUUAAAAAUUGUAUAAAAAUAAUUAUGGGUUAUAAUUUAUAUAUUUAAAAUCCUUAAUAAGUCUAUUUUUAAUAGAAACAAACAAGGACAUCAUUCGAAUUUUUAGUGAAGAGGGGUUAGAACUGUCAAAUAGUGAAACAUGGGAAACUUUAGAGAAUAAAAUGUAUUUAUUAGCUGAACGAAAAAUUCUGAAAAUUUUAUGGCAAGAAGAUAAGUGAGUCUAGUUUCAGGGAAAAUUAACGGAUCUUAAUUUGGAGCUCUGUAGCUCAAGAUAUAAAUAAAUUAGUGACUCUGAUUCAGACAGACAACUUGAAUUUACAUAAAGGAAAAUAAUGAUAGUAUGGAUAAUGUUGAUUAAAUGUGUUAUACACAUUAAUGAUGAUGAAUGGAGAGGAGGUGGAGGAAAAAUUGGAAAAUAUAUGAAUGAUUUGUGUGUAAUUGGUAAUACGCUUGAUUAUAAUUGAUAGACGAUGAAAUAGAAAUGAUGCAUAUAUUUGUGCAGUAUUGAUCAUGGUUUAAGCUCAUGUGGGAAAAUAAAGUUCAUAGUACGUGUGUAUGGUAUAUUUGGUAUAUGAUUUGGCAUGAAGUAAUGUCAUUAAUGGGUAUUGAAUUAACACAUGUUGGUAAGUUUGAUACAUGAAUAAAUAUUGUGAUCAUGAAAGGGGUGGUAAGGUUUAAAUUAUGAAAUCUUUAGUGAAAUGGUUUAUUAUGUGAUUAUUUCCAAAAAGAACUAUGUUUCAAUGCACUAGCUUGCGACUAUGGUUAACGAUAUGUUUAUGUAUUGUGUGAUAUGCAUAGGAAACGAGUGUGGAAAUGUAAUGAAAUAAUAAGUUCAUAUGGCUGAACUUUUAUGAUUAAUUGUUAAUGUGGAAAUGAUAUAAUGUAUCAAUUCGUAUAUUGUUGUUAAAUUAUUAUUAUGGUAAAAAAGAGAAAAAAAAUGAGAUUGUUAGUUCAAAUUAAGGGAUACGUAGGAUUGAGUACAUACGUUCGGUAAUCAGUGAUGAGUUGACGAAUAAGUCCAUGGUGAAUCUAUGGCAAAUUGUGAAAAGUAAGUAUGGUGCUUCAGUGAAGAAAACCAUACUGACUUGCGAAAAGUAAGUAUGGUAUUUCGAUAAAGAAAAUCAUACUGAGUUGUGAAAAGUAGGUAUGGUGUUUCAGUGAAGAAAACCAUACUGAGUUGUGAAAAGUAGGUAUGGUGUUUCAGUAAAGAAAACCAUACUGAGUUGUGAAAAGUAAGUAUGGUAUUUCCGUGAAGAAAACCAUAUUGAGUUAUAGCAAUGUGAAAUAUUCAAGCAAAUCGUGGCACCAAGCAAAUGAUGUACUCAAAUCCGUAAGACGAUCCUUAAUUUGACAAGUAUUUGUAGUACAAUUGAAGCUAAAUGUUGGAAUAUAAGUUGACUUCUGAUAUUGAGCUUAACUGAGAAAAUCCAUUAUUUGAGAUUGUGGUUGGCAGGAAAUGUUCCAUUAUAUAUAUUGUGAAGAAUUAUAAAAGCAUGUUAAUAAUUUGAAAGUUUUAAAUUUUUAGUGAAAUUUUAUAACUCGGUUCAAUACGUUUACAUUGUAUGUGUUUUGGUAAUGCCCCGUACCCUAUUUUGGUGUCGAAUACGGGUAAGGGGUGUUACAGGCAUACUAGCUGCAAUUGAUCGACAGGAAAGCUUAUGGCAGCGCACACACUAUCGGUAUUGCCUAAGGCACGUUGCUUCUAACUACUACAGGCAAUAUCCAUCUAAGAGUGAACGACGACAAGUGACCAACAUUGGUAUUUAGUCUCUAUUAAUAUAAUUCCGUUUGUCAUUUUAAAUUUAUUCUAAUUGAAAGAGUGUUAUGUGAUAUUCGCUAUGAACUUUUACUGGCAAGGUAUGAAAUAAAUAAAAAUUAUUUUCAUGAGAUGUUGGCAGUUUUGCGUUCAAUUAACGGCGAAGGCGCGAACUACCUUUGCAACAUACUGUUCGAACAGUGGGCACAAGCAUACGACGGCGGUCUACGAUAUGGUCAUAUGACCUCAAACCUGGCUGAAUGCAUAAAUUAUGUUCUACGCGCCAUCUGCUGAUAACAUCGGUUGUGCGAGAGACAUAUUUUUGUUUAGCGGCGCUAUUUCCAAAGCGAGCAGGGAGUUAUGCAGGCCAGAUGCAGGGAGACCAUGUAUGGUGCAGCAAGGUAGUACAACAAAUUAACAAGGGCAAGGCACGGGCGAACACCAUGCAUACUGUCUGUCACGACCGAGACAACUUAUAGUUUCGCAUGACAGAGUUUGACAGACCACAUCAAGGUUUAUUGGCAGGCAAUAUUGGGUACACUUGCUAAAUAGGACUUGCGACUGUGGGAUGUUUGACGCACUUCGUUAUCCAUACGCUCAUGUAAUUGCAGCUUGUCGGAAUCUCCGUCUGGAUCCGAUGAGCUAUGUCCUCGAAGUGUACAAAUUAGAAAACAUGUACAACGUCUGGAGACAUGUAUUCCUACCGAUCCUAGAUGAACGUAAGUGGCCAUCUGUAUUGCUUGCUCUUUUUAAGCUGUUACCGGAUAGAGAAUUGCGUCGCAAACUAAAAGGUCAACCUUGCUGGAUUAGAAUACGUAACAAUAUGGAUAUCUGAGAAACAACCAGUCAACAUAAGUUGUGCGGAUGGUGUAGGAACCCAGGCCAUGCAAGCCAAUCAUGCCCAAAUCGUAAUAGUUGAACGUUAUUGUAAAAAAGUUUGUAUUAUUUAUAUUUUUUUAAAUCAAAAAUUGGUACAAAUAUUCAAAAUAUUGACUUAUAUAAAAGAAAAUCUAUUUUAUUAAAAAUAUUAAAGUAAAUUUCAAUUACAUUAUUCAAAACAACGUUUUAUUUUAUUAAAUGAAAUAAUAUAGAAAUAUUCAACAUAAGGCAAAAUUUAAAAGAAUUUCUAUUAUAUUAAAAAUGUAAAAGUAAAUUUCUAUUUUAGUACAUGAAAUAAUAUAGAAGAAUUUAUAUUUUAUUACAUCAAAUAAUAUCAAUUUAUUCAAAAUGUUUGUACAAAUAUAUUCAUAUAAAAAUCAAUCUCCGUGCCCGCCGGAUCAUGGCGGUCGUUGACAGUUACGCGCUGGAUUCCUCCUUUGCCCAGCUUCCUGCGGGAGUUGUGGUUGCUCUGGCGGGGAUUCUGGUUCCUCCUGUAGGGGAUCUGGUUGUCGGUGUUGGGACGAUGAGCCACAUUGAUAGAAUAGUGACUGUGGAGGUGUUUGCAUCACCAACGGCAAAGCUGUUUGAAACCUAUACGGUGAUAGAGAUUAGUAAAAAGAAAAGCUCCCUGACAGCCCCUCUUGCGAUCCCUCGUGCGACGCUGGCAUAUACAUCGGCGGUCCACUCAGUGUAACAGAAAAUGGAGAUGAAUUAAGCCAUGGACUUCAACCUGCCAUAGGACUCGAAAAAGGAAACAUAUAAGAGUUAGAAUAAAUAAAAGGGUUAGGAUACGCACUUGGCAUCAUCUGAAAAAGUUGUACUGUGGGCAUCGUCGGUUAAACUGCUGGGUCGGGUGACUGUGUCGGUGCUCUCGCUGGGCCUGGUGAUUGAAUAGCCGCUGAUGAUGGGCCGGAUGAAUGUCUGGGCCUCGUUGAUAGGCUUGCGUCGUCGUCUCAUCGUAUUGGAUUUAAAGGGUCACGUCGUUCCCUUUGGACACGUAAUUGUCGCUGUCUCUCCUCUGUCGACAGUAAAUAUGGCUUGCCAUGGAUUAUAAACUAUGGCAUGUAUUUUGACACGCACGCUAACUCCGAAACGAUGAUCGGUUCCCGAUUAGGUAUAUAACCAUACCGAUCUUCCCACAUUUGGAUGUAGUAUGACCAGAAUCUCGGCCAAUCCGUAUGCAAUUACUGUAGGUCGAUUUUGUGAUGAUCAUCAAACACCUCAAAUGCCACGGGAAUCGGUUGUCAGAAUCGAAAUUACCGUAAUACUCUGUCUGACUGGUGCAUCUCCACGGUCGCAUAGUUGACCAAUGCGCCUUUCGCGUGCCAAGCGUUUGGAUUUUGGAGGUACUCAUCCGAAAUUAUUGCCCGAAUUGCCGGAUCCUCGUAUGGUGUCCAUUGAAACUAUAUGAACAUGAUGGAAAUAUUAGUUAUAUACAUAAUACAUAAUACUAAAUACUAAAUACCAAUCGACUACCUCAUGAUGGAAAUAUCAAUUUUAUUUAAUACCUACUUGUGCUUCUGACUGUUGGUCUAAUAGAAGCCGUAUAUCUUCAAGAGAGCUAGGUAAUCCAGCAUAACUUGCCGGAUGAUUCCAUGUAAUGAAAUAAAUUUUUAACAUACUAUUAUAUUUUAAAUUUACGUAAUAAUUGUAAAAUCUAAUAUAAAAUUUAUCUCGUUAUGAGUGGGAAUGUAUAUGGGUGGCCCACUUAAGGACGUAAUAAUGGAAAGUGAAACCGUGCCCAUGACUGCAGUAGUGACAGGCAACCUUCGAUUUUCGCUUUACUUGGUCGCGUUGCCCCGCACAUCUCCCGGUACAAUGUGGCCAAAAUGGCAGACCCCCAACUCAAUUCAUCAGCUGCUUUAAAAUCAACGAGUUUUAGCAGCCAUCUUAGAUGUACGAGGUUCCGUGACAAGUCCGGCAUCAGAUAACCUCCAAUUAUCUGAAGAAUGUAUGCCCGAGCAUAUCAGAUUCUUUCUAGUUCGGUUGAAUUAUCAUCCGGAUCGGGGAAUGUGUCUCGUAACAAGCCCAUCUCGAUCCGACCUUCGUUAAUAUUCUCCGAAAUAGCGCCCAAAAGCUCGUAGCAUACCGCUCCCCAAUCACCAGAUUGAACAGACCCGGUGACUGGGUACCCGUCCACCGACAAUCCUAAUUGUAGAUUGACAUCUUCCAAAGUGAUAGUGUACUCUCCACAUGGAAGAUAGAAUAUGUGCGUCUCAGGUCUCCACCUCUCAAUCAACGCACUGAUAAGUUUCGGGUCCAACUUGCAUCCCAGUCUACCGUCGCCACGUGCCAAAAACCCGCUUCCCGUAGGUAAUUCUCUACCAACGGUGAUGGAGGGCCAUGCAUAUUACGGAUAUAGCAUUGCAAUAUCCGAUCUAUAGACUUUUAUAACAAAUAAUAAAUUAAUAAUUAUUUAAAAUUGCAUAAAUAAAAAAUCUUAAAUAAUAUUUAAAAAUUAAAUUUAACACUUACCAUUUUCAUUUGUUCGACGGAUAUGUGCUUGUCAUCAAGACAAAUCAAUUCUUCGGCCAUUGCUAAAUUCGUACAAAUUUUUAUGAUUUAAAAAAAAAUCAAAAAAUAAAAUUUAAAACUUUUUUAAAAAUAAUAAAAAGAUUAAAGCUCUUUUAAAUAGGAAUUUAAGAGAAAUUUGAGAGGAAUUUGAGAGAAUAUUAGAGAGAAUAUUAGAGAAAGGGUUUAGUUGUGAAAAAAAUGAAAGUGGGGUUUUAUAGUUUUUUUUUUACCGUUGGGGAGUUCACCAACGGUCAAAAAAUUAGCCGUUGGUACUGUUCACGCACGGGCAAAACGCGUCCCCAAGGGAGCGCUUACUUGGCAGGAAAACGCGUCCUUGAGGGAGUGCUUUUGGUCCACGUAGGCAAAGCGCUCCCUUGAGGAAGCGUUUUCCUGCCACGUCCCCUGACAUCGCGCUGACGUGGACGCGCUUUCGGGGAAUUAAGCCAUUCGGGUAAUUAAUUUAUUACCGGGCCUAUUCCGGUAAUUUUUUUAAAAAAUGAGCUUUUUUUUAGUGUUUUGCCCAGGAGGAAGCUGCUAAAAAAGUAAAAUUGACUAAUUAAACUAUUUGGAUUUGGCAUUUACAUGGUGGGUAUAUAUAUAUUUCAAAUUCUGUUGCGUGAUUGGGCAAAUGUGUUACACUUUUAAUUUUAGAAGUCCCAAUAUACGAAUGAAAUGUAGUUUAAGAGGUGAAAAACAUGGAUCAAUUACCUAGCAAUCUAACAAUUUCAAAUAUUCAUCAUCAACAACAAUUAAAUUUCUUAAUACAACUCUCGAAAAAAUAGUUGCAAAAGAAUGACAUAAAAUUUUUAUCUAGUGUCAAUUUAAAAUCGUCACGUGUGACCUUAUAAUUAAUAUUCUAUCACAAUCAUUUCAUCUCCUAAUUAUAAAUUACUUUGUACUACCAAUAAUCAAAUAAAAAUUAGUAGUCGCAAAAGCAAAAUUAUCAAAUUAAUAAUGAUGUAAUUAUCAUCACCUAGGAUGAUAAAAAAAUCAAUAUAAAAGUGCACGUUAAUCUCCUAAUUAUUUAUAUUUUAUUAAACAUAUUACAUAAUUCAUUUAUUACAAAAUAAUAGAAGUAAAACAAUCUAAACUUUUUGCUUAAAAAUCUAGGUAAUUUUAUUACUAAUAUAAUGAAACUUAGAUGUUGAAAGAAAAAUAAAAAGAAUAUGACCAUAAUAAAGGUUAUAAAAUCAUUUGUAGCCAGCUUCUCAAUCCAAAUCUUCACAUAAUCACGUUGUAAUAAAAACAGUUAAGAAUGAAACAAGAGGAAGACGUACAAGAGAAGGGGAGAUUAGCUGCUAUCAAAUGCAUACAAUUUCUAGAUAUUAUAGAAAUAGAUGACCUUCAUUUCUUGCUCUACCCAAAAUAUCCCAUGUUUCAGAAAGGAAGAUUCAAAAUGAUUAGCAAAUGGUUGAAUUGUUUGGAGACAAAGGAGAGUGGGAGAUAAUUGAAGUUUAUUUUAUCUUAUCUUUAACUCUUUAAAUUUGAAAUUAUACCUAAAUUGAGAUUUCAUUGUAAUUGUUUGACAUAAAAAAAAAUCAUGUUUUCACUUACAGUUUUCAUUUAAAUCCUUUAUAAUAUUUGAAGUAUAACAGUGAGGAAAAAUCAUGGUUUGUUGUAUAAUAUAAAGUGAAAGUUUUUGUGGCCAAUUUAUUUUUCUUGUAAAUAAAUAUGAUAGGAAAAACCAAGGUGAAUUAUUAUAAAAAAAUUUUAAUUUUUUCUUUUUUAUUUAAGUUUAAAUUAACUUUCUCAGGAGCUUAUUUAGUUAAAAAUCAAGACUUUACAUCGUUUAGCUAAUCUAUAUGAUCUGAAUACAUUAAAUUUUGUAAAUUUUUUAUCUAUCAAAAAUUUUAUAUAAUGAUUCUCAUUAGAUAUGUAAUCUACAAAUCUAAUGUAAAAUUCAUUCUAUUUCGAUAAUUAAUUUUUGUUUUAUUUAAAUAGGGAAAGACCUUUGAUCUUAUGUUCAAAUGGCGAAAUGAAGAUAAUGAAUUUCACAUUUAACUUGUCUGAUUUAGGCACAAACUUAACAAGAAACUUUAAAAAAAGAAGAACAAAUUUAUUUCUUAGUUUUAAGGCAAAUAUCCAAAGGAUUUAUGUCAUUGAAAUCAUAAUAACCCCAAAAAGAAAAACCAAUUAAGUUUGAUAGCAAUGUAGACGAUCAAACAUCAGCUGGUGGAGUGUGGUAGCAAACACAAAGGGUUCCUCCAAAAACUGUGGGGUCUUUCUCGCAAGCAGAUCGAAUUAAGCGACUUCCAUAAGCCUUCAAGCAUUUGUUCUGACAAUCGGGCUGAGAACAUGUAAUCACAAUCACCCCAUCAGCCUCGGUCGGCCUUGCUGCUUCCGCCGUGAAUGUCAACAUCACCAAAGCUAUAACAGCUGCCAUUGCCACCAUUCUUUUACCCCUCAUCUCCAUCUCAAAUGAAAUCUUCCCUUGCCUUUUUAUUUUAUUUUAUUUUAAACCUUUUAUCCUUAGAUUUUCUAUAGACUGCAAAAUGUUGGGUUAUUUGAGUGACCAAAAAC